GAUCAUGGCUCAGGAUGAACGCUAGCUACAGGCUUAACACAUGCAAGUCGAGGGGCAGCGGGAUUGAAGCUUGCUUCAAUUGCCGGCGACCGGCGCACGGGUGAGUAACGCGUAUCCAACCUUCCGUACACUCAGGGGAUAGCCUUUCGAAAGAAAGAUUAAUACCUGAUAGUAUGGUGAGAUUGCAUGAUAACACCCAUUUAAAAGAUUUUAUUGGUAAACGAUGGGGGAUGCGUUCCAUUAGGUAGUAGGCGGGGUAACGGCCCACCUAGCCUGCGAUGGAUAGGGGUUCUGAGAGGAAGGUCCCCCACAUUGGAACUGAGACACGGUCCAAACUCCUACGGGAGGCAGCAGUGAGGAAUAUUGGUCAAUGGGCGAGAGCCUGAACCAGCCAAGUAGCGUGAAGGAUGAAGGUCCUACGGAUUGUAAACUUCUUUUAUACGGGAAUAAAGUUUCCUACGUGUAGGAUUUUGUAUGUACCGUAUGAAUAAGCAUCGGCUAACUCCGUG
RNAcentral lists this ribosomal RNA (509 nucleotides) under uncultured bacterium. RNAcentral's name for it is "bacterial SSU rRNA". It matches the Rfam family "Bacterial small subunit ribosomal RNA", at positions 15 to 507 of the family's 1533-position model. The record is from RNAcentral.